RNAcentral lists this ribosomal RNA (477 nucleotides) under uncultured organism. RNAcentral's name for it is "partial 16S ribosomal RNA". It matches the Rfam family "Bacterial small subunit ribosomal RNA", at positions 330 to 798 of the family's 1533-position model. The record is from RNAcentral.
CGUACACUCCUACGGGAGGCAGCAGUGGGGAAUUUUGGACAAUGGGCGAAAGCCUGAUCCAGCCAUGCCGCGUGCAGGAUGAAGGCCUUCGGGUUGUAAACUGCUUUUGUACGGAACGAAACGGCCUUUUCUAAUAAAGAGGGCUAAUGACGGUACCGUAAGAAUAAGCACCGGCUAACUACGUGCCAGCAGCCGCGGUAAUACGUAGGGUGCAAGCGUUAAUCGGAAUUACUGGGCGUAAAGCGUGCGCAGGCGGUUAUGUAAGACAGUUGUGAAAUCCCCGGGCUCAACCUGGGAACUGCAUCUGUGACUGCAUAGCUAGAGUACGGUAGAGGGGGAUGGAAUUCCGCGUGUAGCAGUGAAAUGCGUAGAUAUGCGGUGGAACACCGAUGGCGAAGGCAAUCCCCUGGACCUGUACUGACGCUCAUGCACGAAAGCGUGGGGAGCAAACAGGAUUAGAAACCCGGGUAGUCCCAU